This 1032-nucleotide ribosomal RNA is filed under the name Triticum aestivum (bread wheat). Its description in RNAcentral is "partial small subunit ribosomal RNA". Lineage: Eukaryota; Viridiplantae; Streptophyta; Magnoliopsida; Poales; Poaceae. The record is from RNAcentral.
AUGGCGACACAAGUAGAUAAUUUUGACGAUGAUCCAUUGAAAGAGGAAUUCGAGAAAGGGACAGGGCCCAGGUGGUUUCGCUAUAGCGAUCUUGCCGUCGCCACCAGCAACUUCUCCGACCAGAUGAAGCUGGGUGAAGGUGGUUUUGGUUCCGUGUACAAAGGAUUUUUGAAGGAGCUUAAAGUAGAGGUGGCUAUAAAAAAAGUGUCCAAGACCUCCAAGCAGGGGAGGAAGGAGUACAUGUCAGAGGUGAAGAUCAUAAGUCGUUUGAGGCAUCGAAACAUCGUACAGCUUAUUGGUUGGUGCCAUGGUGGCGGCGAGCUCUUGCUUGUGUACGAUCUUAUGCCCCACGGCAGCCUAGAUACUCACCUUUAUUGUUCAAACGCCACAUUAUUGUGGCCAUUCAGAUAUGAGAUUGUGUUGGGGCUUGGGUCGGCACUUCUGUACCUGCAUCAAGAUUGGGAGCAAUGUGUUCUGCAUCGUGACAUCAAGCCAAGCAACAUCAUGUUAGAUGCAUCCUUCUGUGCCAAACUUGGUGAUUUUGGGCUUGCCCGGCUUGUCGACCACGGCCGAGGACCAUACACAACAGGUCUUGCAGGAACUAUGGGCUACAUGGAUCCUGAGUGUGUGGUCACCGGAAGGACCAGCGUCGAGUCUGAUGUCUACAGCUUUGGCGUCGUCAUGCUCGAGAUCGCCUGCGGCAAGCGGCCCGCGGUUGCUCGGGGGCAAGAGGACAUCAUUCAUCUGGUGCAAUGGGUUUGGGAUUCAUGGGAAAGUAGAAGGACCCUUGAAGCGGCUGAUGCGCAGCUCAACCUGGAGUUUGACGAACGGGAGAUGGAGUGUGUGAUGGUCGUCGGGCUCUGGUGCGCGCACCCUGAUAGGACCCUGAGGCCGUCCAUCAAGCAAGCGGUCAACGUGCUACGAUUUGAGGCGCCUCUACCAAGCUUUCCAGCAAAGAUGCCCGUCGCGACAUUCAUGACGGCAAUUGAUUCUUCAUUAGUUUCUGCAUCCCAGCUUACAGCGGGCAGAUGA